AUCCCGGAGAUGGCCGUGAAACUUGAAUCGGCGAUGAUCUGAGCGAAAAACUUCAUGGUCAGACCUUGAAUCUUCUAGUAGCAGGUGUACAAGAGCACGUGGAGGUGAGUACAGUCCACCUAGGGCUUGGGGAUGCCAUGGAUUCAGGUGCAACAUGGUGGAAGCCGGUGGGAGAAGGCUAAGGUUUUGGAGUGGCUAGAGAAAGUUUGAGAGGACGAGGGUUUGAG
RNAcentral lists this long non-coding RNA (227 nucleotides) under Nicotiana benthamiana. Its description in RNAcentral is "long non-coding RNA (NBEN_LNC007973)". Lineage: Eukaryota; Viridiplantae; Streptophyta; Magnoliopsida; Solanales; Solanaceae. The record is from RNAcentral.